This 617-nucleotide long non-coding RNA is filed under the name Rattus norvegicus (Norway rat). Its description in RNAcentral is "long non-coding RNA NONRATT028904". The record is from RNAcentral. Lineage: Eukaryota; Metazoa; Chordata; Mammalia; Rodentia; Muridae.
CAGAUCCUAGGACCUUGUCCACGGUAAAUCCCACAGGCUCUCUUCCUAAGGACAGUUCAUUCAGGGUUUCUCAGCCCCUCCCAGAUGCUCACCAGGAACCCCUGACUAGAGAGAGGCAUUGCCAUUUCUUACUACCUCAGGCAGGGAGGUAGGGGUGGGGGACAGCUUGAGUCAGAGGAAGAAGAAGGAAGGGAAGUGGCUUCAUCUCUCCCUGCAGAAUCAGGCUCACCACCCCCUCCCAACUCUGGAAUCUAGAGCUGGUUUGUCUCUGCCCCAACUUCCUGUGUCUCUCCGGCCAGACAAGAGUAGAAACAGUGUAACCGCUUCAACCCUGUGUCUACCUUGGACUCCAGGAGAAAGGGCAGCUAUGUAGGGGUGUGCGCUGAGACGCCCUGCCUUUCUACCGUUUUUGUUUAUUUCUGCCUUGACUCUUUUGUGAAGUGAAUGUUAAUUUUGUAUUUCAACUAGUCUGGAAACAUAUGUGCUAUUUACAGAAUUAAAAUUUGCAUACUAACAUUGGCCCUCAUCUUUUCUCCCCUCUCUUCCCUGCCCCCUUACCCCAGGGACCUCGUCCCUCUGUUACCUAAGAUCAGAAUAAAGAAAUAACCCUGGCCUUC